GAGACACCCUUAUGGGGCAGGAUUGCAUCAGUGGGGUUUUGCUGCUCACUGAGCCUGCCCCUUGAGUGUGUCACU
RNAcentral lists this microRNA precursor (75 nucleotides) under Myotis davidii. Its description in RNAcentral is "mir-9229 microRNA precursor family". It matches the Rfam family "mir-9229 microRNA precursor family". The record is from Rfam by way of RNAcentral. Lineage: Eukaryota; Metazoa; Chordata; Mammalia; Chiroptera; Vespertilionidae.